AAGCUGUCAAAAUUUUAGGACAAAGGGCACAGGGUUAUGGUGAGAGCCCCCUGAUCUCUCAAUCUUUCUAAUAUUUUACAGACAUUUAGUCAAUAGGUAGAUACAAACGUGACUAAAAGGAAUUUGUGUACACUUCAUGUCUUCUAUGUUUACGGUACGCCAAAAGUGCCAGUUGGAUAUUCAAAUUUUAUAUCAAAAAUCGACCCGAGACCGCUUAAAUGAGGUUGAGACCCCCC
RNAcentral lists this long non-coding RNA (236 nucleotides) under Mytilus galloprovincialis (Mediterranean mussel). Lineage: Eukaryota; Metazoa; Mollusca; Bivalvia; Mytilida; Mytilidae. The record is from RNAcentral.